RNAcentral lists this long non-coding RNA (3863 nucleotides) under Homo sapiens (human). RNAcentral describes it as "HSALNT0259368". Lineage: Eukaryota; Metazoa; Chordata; Mammalia; Primates; Hominidae. The record is from RNAcentral.
UUUAUUUAUAAAAUAUAUCCCAUCCUGUCAAAUACUGCUAGAAAAAAGGGUUCAUCUAGAAGAUGUUGAGGUUAGAGCAUAUAUUUUCAUUGACAGAACUUUAGUUAUUUGAACUUUUGCAAUCCCAUGUAAAUUAUCUUAUCUUGUAUUCCAAAAAUCCCAUGCUAUCCACAUCUAUUUGGUUCCUGAGUUCAGACACUAAGAAAUACAAUCUUAUCUAAAUCAAUUUGAUUUUCAAGUUUCAGAAAGUAGAAAGUUUGAUUUAUCAGAAUUGUUUUUUCCUAAAUUCAGAAUGUGACAAAUAUUUAUUUUCAAUGGGUUACUAGAUUUGAUUUGCUAAUUUAUAAUGCUGUAUUUUCAUAACUGAUUCUGGACAAAUUGUUUUGGGUUCUAGUAGGUUGUAACAUCAGGAUUAUGACAAAUUUUAAAAAUAGAUAAUUUGCUAUCUCAGUCUAUGUCCUAGAAGAGUUUCCUAAGACAUUUCAUAGAUUUCACCUAUAAAAAUCUCUACCUUGGUGUCUUUUUUAGUGUAGCAAUUUGACAUUUAAAAUAUAUUUUAAGAAAAAUUUUAUUUCACUUAUUUAUUUUUGAGAGAGUUUCACUCUUGUUGCCCAGGCUGGAGUGCAAUGGCAUGAUCCCCGCUCACCGCAAUCUCUGCCUCCCGGGUUCAAGCCUUUCUCCUGCCUCAGCCUCCUGAGUAGCCGGGAUUACAGGCAUGAGCCACCACGCCCGGCUAAUUUUUUGUAUUUUUAGUAGAGACAGGGUUUCUCCAUGUUGGUCAGGCUGGUCUCAAAUCCCCGACCUCAGGUGAUCCACCCGCCUUGGCCUCACAGAAUGCUGAGAUUACAGGCGUGAGCCACCAUGCCUGGCCAGUCUUAUUUUUUUAAAUAAGUUUAUUCUGGAGGGAGGUCUAUUAAGAUUUUACACCUCCAGUUAAUUCUGAUGUCGUCAACUUAUUAAAAAUCACAGACUUUUUCCAGAUUUUCAGAUAUAUUAUAAAAAUGUCUAUAAUACCAACUUUUAAGUUUGUUGUUUUAAUUUUUUUUUUUUUCUGUAGAGAUGAGGGGAGGGGGAUCUCAUUAUGUUACCUAGACUGGUCUUGAACUCCUGGCCUCAAGCCAUUCUCCUACCUCAGCCUCCCAAAGUGCUGGAAUUACAGGCAUGAGCCACUGCAACCAGCCUUAAGUUUUUAAAUUGAGAUCAAAUUCACACAGCAUAAUAUUCACCCUUUUAAAGUGUAUAGUUGAGUGACCUGUAGUAUAUAAACAAAAUUGUACAACCUUUACCCAUGCCACAUUUUCAUUACCCCAAAUGACACAGUUCUUUUAAGUUUACAUAUAUAGCCAUUUCAAUUUCUCAUAUACAAUAUUGUUUAUUUGUCAUCCUUAUUUCACCUCUGGAAUCACUAAACUUUGUCUCAUUUUUUUUCUCUUCCAUCAAAUAUCAAUUUUGGAUUCAGAUCCAGUUUUUUUCUUUCAAUUAUUUCUGCCUUUUAAAAUAAUACUACCUCCUUCCUCCCACAAUUCAUUUCAGCUUGUUUUAGUUCCUUGGGUUCUAUAUUUUUUCUUCCUAGUAUUACAAUAUAUGCACAAAUAUUAGGUUAUAAAACUUCCAAUACAACUUUUACUGCCACUCACAGGUUUUUCAAUUGUUUUCAUUUUCAUGUACAUUUAAAUAAUGUAUAUAUUAGGGAUUUAUUCCUUAACCCAUGUUAAUUAAGAGGGAAUAUUGAAUUAAUAAUCAGAUAUUUGAUGGUUAUCCUAUUGUACUGCUUCUUCUGGUCAAAUAAUGUUGCCAGUAUGUUUUCUGCAUUUUGGGGGGAAAUAUUAGAAAAAAUUUUAUAAUCUCUUCCUGCUUUUUUGACAGCUGUGCUUUCUACUACUCAUCAUAUUUUCAGGGUUUCAGAUUGGUAACCGUUUAUUUUUUAUUUUGUAAGACAGAGUCUCGCUCUGUCACCCAGUCUGGAGUGUGCAGUGGUGCAAUCUCAGCUCACUAUAACCUCCAACUCCCAGGUUCAAGCAAUCCUCCCACCUCAGCCUCUUGAGUAGCUAGGAUUACAGGCAUGCAACACCAUGCCUGGCUAUUUGUUUUUGUUUUUGUUUUUUUUGUAUUUUUAGUAGAGACGGGGUUUCACCAUGUUGGCCAGGCUGGUCUCGAGCUCCUGACCUCAAGUGAUCCACCCACCUUGGCCUCCCAAAGUGCUAGGAUUACAGGUGUGAGCCACCGCGCCCAGCCUCAGACUGGUAUUCUUUAUGUAGCAUAAAAGAUAAAGUCUGAACAAAGACUAUGCACACAUACUUUUUCUCUUCCUUUUAAAAUUCCACACUGAAUAAUAAUGAUAGGGAAAGGCUUCGUUAUACUCAUUACAAGUGUUUCUCUUUUUCCACCAUGAAUUACAAAUUUGCCAAAGGUAAACAACAUGGUUAAAAUCCUUUCCAUAAAUCCUAAUGAAGAUACUUAUGAUAAUGAGUAUAUCACUGAUAAUAGUGGAAAACUUUUACUAAACCUGUAUUAUGUGAUAACAGUUUGAGGUACUUUGCAUUUAUUAAUUCAUUGACUCUUCACAGCAAUCCAAUACAUACAGCCUUAUUAUAGAUGCCUAGACAUAAUUUUUUAAAAUACCACUAACAGCCAGGGGCGGUGGCUCACACCUAUAAUCCCAGCACUUUGGGAAGCCAAGGCAGGAGGAUCACGAGGUCAGGAGUUUGAGAGCAGCCUGGCCAAUAUGGUGAAACCCCAUCUCUACUAAUAAUACAAAAAUUAGCUAGGCAUGGUGGCGCGCGCCUGUAGUCCCAGCUACUCGGGAGGCUGAGGCGGAAGACUCACUUGAACUCGGGAGGCAGAGGUUGCAGUGAGCCGAGAUUGCACCACUGCCCUCCAGCCUGGGCAACAGAGCGAGACUGUGUCUCAAAAAACAAAAACACCACUAAUAGCUAUAAGAAAAAAUAAUUGACCGGGCACAGUGGUCAGCUUUUAUAGCUGCAAAAAUUUAGUGGCAACCAUAAUGGGAAUAGUCAUUUUAAAGUCAUUAAAUAUGUCAUGAAAAUAAUAAAAAUCUAUAUUUACUGAAAUGGCACUCAUGAAAUCUUUGGCAUGAUAAAAGCAGUUAAGGGUACAGCAUGCAUAUCAUAAUUACACUUUCUUAAAAAAGCAAAGUAUAGCACGAUUUUCUCUACCAAAUUGAGAGCAGCCAUCUAUAAGUAUGAUUACAAUUAAUUUUGGCUUUUUAGUUUGUAAUUUUUUGCUUUGUGAUUUUGGCUUAACAAUUAAAAAUGUACAUUUGUAAAAUAAAAAGACCGGCCGCAGUGGCUCACGCCUGUAAUCCCAGCACUUUCGGAGGCCGAGGCGGGUGGAUCACCUGAAGUCGGGAGAUUGAGACCAUCCUGGCUAACAUGGUGAAACCCCGUCUCUACUAAAAAUACAAAAAAUUAGCCGGGUGUUGUGGCACAUGCCUGUAAUCCCAACUACUCAAAAGGCUGAGGCAGAAGAACCACUUGAACCUGGGAGGCGAAGGUUGUGACGAGCCGAGAUUGCACCAUUGCACUCCAGCCUAGGCAACAAGAGCGAAACUCCGUCUCAACAAAAAAUAAAGCCAGGUGCAAUCGCUCAUGCCUGUAAUCCCAGCACUUUGGGAGGCUGAGGCAGGUGGAUCACCUGAGGUCAGGAGUUCAAGACUAUCCUGACCAACAUGGAGAAACCCUGUCUCUACUAAAAAUAGAAAAUUAGCAGGGUGUGGUGGCACACGCCUGUGAUCCCAGCUACUCAGGAGUCUGAGGCAGGAGAAUUGCUUGAAGCCGGGAGGUGGAGGUUGCAGCGAGCCGAGAUUGCGCCACUGCACUCCAGCCUGGGCAACAGAGUGAAAC